CACCAAGACGAUGACGGGUAGCCGGCCUGAGAGGGCGACCGGCCACACUGGGACUGAGACACGGCCCAGACUCCUACGGGAGGCAGCAGUGGGGAAUAUUGCACAAUGGGCGAAAGCCUGAUGCAGCGACGCCGCGUGGGGGAUGACGGCCUUCGGGUUGUAAACCCCUUUCAGUAGGGAAGAAGCGAAAGUGACGGUACCUGCAGAAGAAGCGCCGGCUAACUACGUGCCAGCAGCCGCGGUAAUACGUAGGGCGCAAGCGUUGUCCGGAAUUAUUGGGCGUAAAGAGCUCGUAGGUGGCUUGUCGCGUCUGCCGUGAAAACCCGAGGCUCAACCUCGGGCGUGCGGUGGGUACGGGCAGGCUAGAGUGUGGUAGGGGAGACUGGAACUCCUGGUGUAGCGGUGAAAUGCGCAGAUAUCAGGAAGAACACCGAUGGCGAAGGCAGGUCUCUGGGCCAUUACUGACACUGAGGAGCGAAAGCAUGGGUAGCGAACAGGAUUAGAUACCCUGGUAGUCCAUGCCGUAAACGUUGGGCACUAGAUGUGGGGGACAUUCCACGUUUUCCGCGUCGUAGCUAACGCAUUAAGUGCCCCGCCUGGGGAGUACGGCCGCAAGGCUAAAACUCAAAGGAAUUGACGGGGGCCCGCACAAGCGGCGGGGCAUGCUGAUUAAUUCGAUGCAACGCGAAGAACCUUACCAAGGCUUGACAUGCACCGGACGAUCCCAGAGAUGGGGUUUUCUUCGGACUGGUGCACAGGUGGUGCAUGGUUGUCGUCAGCUCGUGUCGUGAGAUGUUGGGUUAAGUCCCGCAACGAGCGCAACCCUUGUUCUAUGUUGCCAGCACGUGAUGGUGGGGACUCAUAGGAGACUGCCGGGGUCAACUCGGAGGAAGGUGGGGACGACGUCAAAUCAUCAUGCCCCUUAUGUCUUGGGCUUCAAGCAUGCUACAAUGGUCGGUACAAUGGGUUGCGAAACUGUGAGGUGGAGCGAAUCCCAAAAAGCCGGCCUCAGUUCGGAUUGGGGUCUGCAACUCGACCCCAUGAAGUCGGAGUCGCUAGUAAUCGCAGAUCAGCAACGCUGCGGUGAAUACGUUCCCGGGCCUUGUACACACCGCCCGUCAAGUCACGAAAGUCGGUAACACCCGAAG
RNAcentral lists this ribosomal RNA (1148 nucleotides) under uncultured Brachybacterium sp. RNAcentral's name for it is "bacterial SSU rRNA". It matches the Rfam family "Bacterial small subunit ribosomal RNA", at positions 266 to 1426 of the family's 1533-position model. The record is from RNAcentral. Lineage: Bacteria; Bacillati; Actinomycetota; Actinomycetes; Micrococcales; Dermabacteraceae.